This 393-nucleotide ribosomal RNA is filed under the name uncultured bacterium. Its description in RNAcentral is "partial 16S ribosomal RNA". It matches the Rfam family "Bacterial small subunit ribosomal RNA", at positions 523 to 918 of the family's 1533-position model. The record is from RNAcentral.
AUACGGAGGAUGCGAGCGUUAUCCGGAUUUAUUGGGUUUAAAGGGAGCGUAGGUGGGAUAUUAAGUCAGCUGUGAAAGUUUGGGGCUCAACCUUAAAAUUGCAGUUGAUACUGGUUUCCUUGAGUACGGUACAGGUGGGCGGAAUUCGUGGUGUAGCGGUGAAAUGCUUAGAUAUCACGAAGAACUCCGAUCGCGAAGGCAGCUCACCUGGUCGGAACUGACACUGAUGCUCGAAAGGGCGGGUAUCAAACAGGAUUAGAUACCCUGGUAGUCCGCACAGUAAACGAUGAAUACUCGCUGUUUGCGAUACACGGUAAGCGGCCAAGCGAAAGCGUUAAGUAUUCCACCUGGGGAGUACGCCGGCAACGGUGAAACUCAAAGGAAUUGACGGGG